AUUAACGAAUUGUAAUGGGGGUUGAUGCUGGCAAGCUAUCUUUUGGCUGCAUGUGCUCGCCUCCAACAAUCUUUAUCCACACACCUGUGCACCUUCUGAGGGAUUUUUGAGUAGAGAUUGCCCUCCGGCGAUCUUUCUUGGAUGUUCCCUCUUUACAUACACUGAUUAUAAUGUUGAACGUGCUCGUGCCGAUAUGGCCGUAAUAAAAUACAACUUUUAACAACGGAUCUCUUGGUUCUCGCAUCGAUGAAGAACGCAGCGAAAUGCGAUAAGUAAUGUGAAUUGCAGAAUUCAGUGAAUCAUCGAAUCUUUGAACGCAUCUUGCGCUCCCUGGUAUUCCGGGGAGCACGCCUGUUCGAGUGUCGUGAAAUUCUCAAGCUGUGGAUGCUUUUUGUAAAGUGUUCUCAGCUUGGUUAUUGGGCUUUGCCGUGUCCUUUUAGGGAAUGGCUGGCUUUAAAAGCAUUAGCUGACCCUCAUGAUGGCAUUGGUUCUACUCAGCGUGAUAAUAAACUGACCGCUGAGGACAUCUUUCGGGGUGGCCAAUUCUCGUUUGGGUUGCUCUCUAAUCUGGUUUAUGGGUCGCUAAUAACGAUCCGUUCCAUUUUCAGUUUGACCUCGAAUCAGGUGGGACUACCCGCUGAACUUAAGCAUAUCAAUAAGCGG
Molecule: ribosomal RNA, 663 nt
Filed under: uncultured fungus
Lineage: Eukaryota; Fungi
Description: eukaryotic LSU rRNA
Rfam family: 5.8S ribosomal RNA (bases 212-365)
Source: RNAcentral